RNAcentral lists this transfer RNA (73 nucleotides) under Stegodyphus mimosarum. It matches the Rfam family "tRNA". Rfam says of the family: Transfer RNA (tRNA) molecules are approximately 80 nucleotides in length. Their secondary structure includes four short double-helical elements and three loops (D, anti-codon, and T loops). Further hydrogen bonds mediate the characteristic L-shaped molecular structure. tRNAs have two regions of fundamental functional importance: the anti-codon, which is responsible for specific mRNA codon recognition, and the 3' end, to which the tRNAs corresponding amino acid is attached (by aminoacyl-tRNA synthetases). tRNAs cope with the degeneracy of the genetic code in two manners: having more than one tRNA (with a specific anti-codon) for a particular amino acid; and 'wobble' base-pairing, i.e. permitting non-standard base-pairing at the 3rd anti-codon position. The record is from Rfam by way of RNAcentral. Lineage: Eukaryota; Metazoa; Arthropoda; Arachnida; Araneae; Eresidae.
GCCUUCUUGGUGUAGUGGUCAGCACGCUCGAUGCGUAACCGAGAGGUCCGGGGUUCGAUUCCCGGCGAAGGCA